This 84-nucleotide transfer RNA is filed under the name Muribaculaceae bacterium. RNAcentral describes it as "tRNA-Leu". It matches the Rfam family "tRNA". From Rfam's summary of the family: Transfer RNA (tRNA) molecules are approximately 80 nucleotides in length. Their secondary structure includes four short double-helical elements and three loops (D, anti-codon, and T loops). Lineage: Bacteria; Pseudomonadati; Bacteroidota; Bacteroidia; Bacteroidales; Muribaculaceae. The record is from RNAcentral.
GCCCGGAUGGUGGAAUGGUAGACACGAGGGACUUAAAAUCCCUUGGCCUUUUCGGCUGUGCGGGUUCGAGUCCCGCUCCGGGCA